AGUGAACGCUGGCGGUAGGCCUAACACAUGCAAGUCGAACGGCAGCACAGUAAGAGCUUGCUCUUACGGGUGGCGAGUGGCGGACGGGUGAGGAAUACAUCGGAAUCUACUUUUUCUUGGGGGAUAACGUAGGGAAACUUACGCUAAUACCGCAUACGACCUACGGGUGAAAGCAAGGGAUCUUCGGACCUUGCGCGAUUGAAUGAGCCGAUGUCGGAUUAGCUAGUUGGCGGGGUAAAGGCCCACCAAGGCAACGAUCCGUAGCUGGUCUGAGAGGAUGAUCAGCCACACUGGAACUGAGACACGGUCCAGACUCCUACGGGAGGCAGCAGUGGGGAAUAUUGGACAAUGGGCGCAAGCCUGAUCCAACCAUACCGCGUGGGUGAAGAAGGCCUUCGGGUUGUAAAGCCCUUUUGUUGGGAAAGAAAAGCAGCAGGUUAAUACCCCGCUGUUCCGACGGUACCCAAAGAAUAAGCACCGGCUAACUUCGUG
Molecule: ribosomal RNA, 492 nt
Filed under: uncultured bacterium
Lineage: Bacteria
Description: partial 16S ribosomal RNA
Rfam family: Bacterial small subunit ribosomal RNA
Source: RNAcentral